RNAcentral lists this non-coding RNA (29 nucleotides) under Rattus norvegicus (Norway rat). The record is from RNAcentral. Lineage: Eukaryota; Metazoa; Chordata; Mammalia; Rodentia; Muridae.
UGUCAAAAUUUCUGAAUGAUCCUUGGUGU